Molecule: long non-coding RNA, 612 nt
Organism: Neofelis nebulosa (Clouded leopard)
Lineage: Eukaryota; Metazoa; Chordata; Mammalia; Carnivora; Felidae
Exons: 2
Source: RefSeq, a predicted model, not a curated record
CCCCGCGAGCCCAGGCCCCCGCCCCGGGCCAGCCGCCCCGCGUCGCCCCGCAGGAAGUUCAUGAGCACGGUCUCCGCCAUGUCGUCGGCGUUGUGGCCUGGGGGAGAGAGACGGGGAGCCGGCCCUGUGCCAGUUGCUUUUUCAGGAGGGUCAGUCUCAGUUGAAGGUGUGCGUCACACGGCACCGGCACCGGCACCGGAGAAGUCAAAGCGGCCUCUAACGGUCAGUGGAGGUGUUGCUGUCCCAGUGCGGGGAAUGCGGGUCACCGCGUGCAGGAAGGCCAGCGAGAGCUUCGGUAUUUCCUCAACAGUCACCAUAGACGUCACCUAAACGUCUACCUAUUCUGCAUCUUGUCGUCUUAUACUUGAGUCUGUCUGGUCCGACAGACACCGGUCCUCUUGGGGCUUCUCCAGUUGGCCACACUUCCCCUCCUCAGGGCCUUUGCACCAGCCUCCUCCUCUGCUCGGACCCCAACAACUGGGUCUGCCCUUCACUGGUUACUCAGGCGGCCUUCAGGUCAGGCUCACUCAGGAACCACUUCCUAACUCCAGGCUUCCCCCUUCACUGGGUCCUCCUGUUAUAAACUGGCAAAGUCUGUGUGAUUUUUCCUUA